Long non-coding RNA from Dermacentor andersoni, 1032 nucleotides. RefSeq lists it as uncharacterized. The record is from RefSeq and is a predicted model, not a curated record. NCBI's taxonomy places the organism in Eukaryota, Metazoa, Arthropoda, Arachnida, Ixodida, Ixodidae.
GAUGCCCACUCAUAGCAACUGGCAGAUACGCCAUGCAAGAAGUUGCAUUCUAGUUUGACUUUAUCUUGGUAUUACAUACUGUCAAAGAAGAUUCAGAGCUAUGAAAACCGAAGUCUGUGAGUGGUCAACUGCAUGAUAGAAUUGACAUGUUGAGUGUGGCAGCCUAGACAACAGAGAGCAUUGAAAGGAGAGCUGCAUCAUGUAGAACCUGUGCAAGGGUUAAGGCAGUGACAACAAGCCAGCUGCUGGGACAGAAAGGAAAAGCAUGCAUGUCAUUGACACAGCCAUCUGUCAUUGACUGAAACACCUACUGUGGUCUUUUUAGUGGGCACUGCAGAGUGUGCCAGUUUUGAGGAAGAACAAAAAAUUGUCAGAAAUGUUAUAGAUGUCCGUUAAGUAUAAACAGUGUUGCCACAAUGUUUUGAAGCAUGUUGCUAAAGUGAGAUGAAAAAGUAGCUGAAUUUCUACUAAUUCUGCUGCAAGGUCGCUAAAAUUGUCACUAAAACUCUUGAGGAAACUUUAGGUAAUGUAGCCAUCUUGGAACACCAUAAUGUAUGCUAGCAUAGCGCAAACCAUUCAAUGAAAUGUCUCCACGUUUGUCUAGGGUUCAUGCACGUAAAGAAUAAACAGUGAAUUUACCUGCAGCGUGUAGGGGUUUUUUAAUUAGUAAAUUACAGUUGACUCCCAUUAAUUGAACCCUUGCGGCACCUCAAGAUUUUUGUUGGAUUAUCCAAAACAUUGAAUAAAAAAAUGGCGGCAGAAUGAACAAAUUAAAAUCUUUUGCUAUGCUAAAAGCGCCCUACAAUAUCUUUGCCUUUUCCCCUUGAAGCGUAAUCAACCAGCAUUCACUGAAGAGCACCUGCAUGAUUCAACGCUGUCUUGGCAACGGGCUGUCACAUUGCUGACUGUGUCGUCACCGUAAGUUGGAAAAUUUCAUGGCCCCUUUCAGGAAGUUCCGAGCAUGGCGGCGCAAGACGUUCAUACCUAUGGCUGGCACUGCACCCAGGGGUUGGCUGCCACCUGGCUGCUUUG